UCCGAAUCUUGCACUAGGUGGCUACUGUUUUUCCAUCUCAAGUGAAAUCACUAUUUUUCUCUAAACAUGGGGUCGGAAUUUUUCUAAAAUUAGGUUGAGAUUCUACUAGAUUUGGAUAUUUUGGGUCGAGAUUGACCAUUUCCGACUAGUAUAAGAACUUCUUAAAUCGACAUGGUAACACACUUUCAAAGUUCUCCUUCACCCCUCAACAUUGUUUUCUUAAAGAAGUUUUCCUUGACUGCUGACACCUUGGUCCAGGUUCUAUCUUCCAAUUUACCCACUGUUUUGUAGUUCUUAUUCAACUCUGUCUUUAUGUGAUAGUUCUUGUUCAUAUUGUCUUUAGUCUCAUUUUGAUUUUGCCUCUAUUUUGUAGAGCUUGUUCUUACUUUUGUUAAUCGUUGCUAGUAUUCAUAUUGUUUUUCAAGUUUUA
This 430-nucleotide long non-coding RNA is filed under the name Solanum tuberosum (potato). Its description in RNAcentral is "long non-coding RNA (STUB_LNC011542)". Lineage: Eukaryota; Viridiplantae; Streptophyta; Magnoliopsida; Solanales; Solanaceae. The record is from RNAcentral.